UGCAUCCACAUUGACAGGAGAACUUGGCGUGGGGCUAGACUAAAAACAAUGCUGUUUAAUCAGAUGGGUAAAGAGGAUCAUGAAUCAGGGACAACAACAAGAGCUACAGAUCAGAAAUCUGACUCUAGAGUAGGCUGCUUCAUUGUCAUUGUUCAUUAUUUUCCAUAGCCCUGUUGAUCCCCAGCCUCUCAUUACGCUUCUCAAGAGUUUUCACAACUGGAGUUGAGGGCGUUUGGAUGUGAUUUUCCACACGGAUUAUUUGAUGCAUUUUCC
This 273-nucleotide long non-coding RNA is filed under the name Cyanistes caeruleus (blue tit). RNAcentral's name for it is "lncRNA (ENSCCEG00000001990.1)". Lineage: Eukaryota; Metazoa; Chordata; Aves; Passeriformes; Paridae. The record is from RNAcentral.